This 1609-nucleotide long non-coding RNA is filed under the name Setaria italica (foxtail millet). Its description in RNAcentral is "long non-coding RNA (SITA_LNC003520)". The record is from RNAcentral. Lineage: Eukaryota; Viridiplantae; Streptophyta; Magnoliopsida; Poales; Poaceae.
UAUCUUCAUAAUCACUGCAAUCCACCAGUCCUCCAUUGCGAUCUCAAGCCAAGCAACAUCCUUCUUGCAGAAGACAUGAGUGCCCGAAUUGGAGACUUUGGUAUAUCAAAAAUCCUGCCAGAAUGUGCUAGUAAAACCCUGCAAAAUUCAAAUAGCACAAUUGGGAUAAGAGGCUCUAUAGGUUAUGUGGCUCCAGGUAACUGAAUAGUGUUUUUGGUAUUUGAUUAUCAAUCAAAGUUAUUACAUAAACAUUGCAUGAUCAAAAGUUUGUUUUGGCACAAUUGUAGAGUAUGGUGAAGGUUCUUCUGUCUCAACUCUUGGUGAUGUUUAUAGCCUCGGCAUAUUACUACUUGAGAUGUUUACAGGAAGAAGCCCAACAGAUGAUAUUUUUAGAGGUUCAUUGGAUCUGCACAAGUUUUCAGAGGAUGCUCUUCCAGAGAGAAUCUUGAAGAUAGCUGAUACAACAAUGUGGCUGCACACAGACGCCUAUGAAGCACUACAAGAAGUAAAGUUGAGAAUUGUUUGGUUUCAGUUAUUGCUCUUGGGGUAUCCUGCUCCAGUAAACAACCUAGAGAGAGGACACCGAUAAAGGAUGCAGCCAUUGAGAUGCAUGCUAUCAGAGAUACAUACCUCAUGUUUUCCACGCCUCUUGUUGUGGAACAAGGAGUAACAAGAGAUCUGCAGUGAUUUCUAGCAAGCAGAGGUUAAAAAUGGGCAAGAUGCCUGCAGAACGUAACAUGCAUUUAUUUACAUCUACACUCUUUCUGUCGAGAACUGUCGAUAAGAUGUUUGAGUCGAAUCCACCAUUCCUUUCUGACCAAUCCGCGUCUGUUUGAAUCAGAUAAAGGACAUUAUGUAAAUGUGUCACAUAGAGAAAGAAAAUUCAGAGUUCUACAAGCUACCAGUAUGCAUCUUCUGUUGACAAUUGUCAAUAACUUUUCAAGUUUGCGUCAAAUUCUAUCAUUCCUCUAUUUUUUGAAAGCGCAGCAAAAGCUUUGCUGCAAAUUUAUUAGAAGGAGAAAAAAACAAAGUGCUAGCCCAGUUUUUUAAGGAAAAAACCGAGCCCAUUGGUAGUAUCCGCAAUCUGCAACAACUGUAUCUAGCGCAUAACAAUUUGUCCGGGCUGAUACCAGCAGUACUACAGAAUUUGACAUCACUGUCAGAAUUGGAUCUAUCCUUCAACAAUCUGCAAGGUGAAGUGCCAAAAGAGGGAAUAUUCAGACAUUUAACUAACUUUUCAAUUAGUGGAAACAAUGAGCUUUGUGGUGGAAUACCUCAGCUUCAUUUAUCUCCAUGCCACACAAAUUUCACGGAAAAGAAAAGAAAAGGAUGAUUAAGGUGUCUUACAGUAGCUCUUUCGACAAUUGGUGCAGUCUUGUUAUUUGCUUUCAUGAUUGUACUCAUUCAGUUAAAAAGUAAGAAGCUUAGACAAAGGAAGCAAAGCCCAUUCCUACCACCAAUGAUUGAGGGGCAGUAUGACAGAAUUUCUUACCAUUCAUUAGCAAUUGGAACCAACGGAUUUGCUGAAGCCAAUUUGCUUGGUAAAGGAAGCUUUGGGUCAGUCUAUAAAUGCACAUUUCAAGACGAGGAAACUAUUGUUGCAGUGAAG